Molecule: non-coding RNA, 112 nt
Organism: Acanthosepion pharaonis
Lineage: Eukaryota; Metazoa; Mollusca; Cephalopoda; Sepiida; Sepiidae
Source: the annotation of a GenBank genome assembly
UACAGUCAAAUCACGAUGAACACAUCGGUUCUCGUUCUGUCACCGAAGUUAAGCAUCAUAGAACCAGGUUAGCACUUAUGUGGGACCGCUUGGGAAGACCUGGUACUGUAAG